UAGCAUGUAUUUGAUUUAGAUUUAAGUUUGGAUUUGAAGCAAUUCAGUGACCGAAAUCCAAUAAAAAUAUUUAACUUCUAAAAGCUAUAAUGAUGCGGCCAAUUUGGCGUCAAUCUCAAUUCGCUCCACCAUUUUUUAAACGAUCAUAAUUUUUCGCUCGAGUAUCUGAUUUCAGAGUGCAAUCUCAAUUUGGAAAAUAUUUUUUGAGAUUUAUGCGUCGAAUCGCAGAGCCAUUUCGGCUGAGUUUGGAAUCCAAAUUGAAUUGUUCAGCCUCCGUUUUUACAUUUUUAGAUUAAUUAUUUUAGAAAAAUUUUAUAUUUUUCUUAUUUUUACUCCGACUAUUUGAUUAUUUCUUAUGUAAUUAAGUUUAGAGAUAUAUUAGAAUUUAUUAUUUUCG
This 397-nucleotide long non-coding RNA is filed under the name Ananas comosus (pineapple). RNAcentral's name for it is "long non-coding RNA (ACOM_LNC027324)". The record is from RNAcentral. Lineage: Eukaryota; Viridiplantae; Streptophyta; Magnoliopsida; Poales; Bromeliaceae.